RNAcentral lists this ribosomal RNA (523 nucleotides) under Salmonella enterica. Its description in RNAcentral is "partial 23S ribosomal RNA". It matches the Rfam family "Bacterial large subunit ribosomal RNA", at positions 52 to 588 of the family's 2925-position model. Lineage: Bacteria; Pseudomonadati; Pseudomonadota; Gammaproteobacteria; Enterobacterales; Enterobacteriaceae. The record is from RNAcentral.
AAGGGCGUACUAAUCUGCGAUAAGCGCCGGUAAGGUGAUAUGAACCGUUAUAACCGGCGAUACCCGAAUGGGGAAACCCAGUGUGAUUCGUCACACUAUCAUUAACUGAAUCCAUAGGUUAAUGAGGCGAACCGGGGGAACUGAAACAUCUAAGUACCCCGAGGAAAAGAAAUCAACCGAGAUUCCCCCAGUAGCGGCGAGCGAACGGGGAGGAGCCCAGAGCCUGAAUCAGCAUGUGUGUUAGUGGAAGCGUCUGGAAAGGCGCGCGAUACAGGGUGACAGCCCCGUACACAAAAGCGCAUGUGCUGUGAGCUCGAUGAGUAGGGCGGGACACGUGGUAUCCUGUCUGAAUAUGGGGGGACCAUCCUCCAAGGCUAAAUACUCCUGACUGACCGAUAGUGAACCAGUACCGUGAGGGAAAGGCGAAAAGAACCCCGGCGAGGGGAGUGAAAAAGAACCUGAAACCGUGUACGUACAAGCAGUGGGAGCCCCACCACCAAAGCAUUUGCUGUACCGCGUUGAC